This 211-nucleotide ribosomal RNA is filed under the name uncultured bacterium. RNAcentral describes it as "partial 16S ribosomal RNA". It matches the Rfam family "Bacterial small subunit ribosomal RNA", at positions 1289 to 1500 of the family's 1533-position model. The record is from RNAcentral.
CAGUUCAGAUUGCAGGCUGCAACCCGCCUGCAUGAAGUCGGAAUUGCUAGUAAUCGCGGAUCAGCAUGCCGCGGUGAAUACGUUCCCGGGCCUUGUACACACCGCCCGUCACACCAUGGGAGCCGGUAAUACCCGAAGUCAGUAGUCCAACCUCGUGAGGACGCUGCCGAAGGUAGGAUUGGCGACUGGGGUGAAGUCGUAACAAGGUAUC